AUUGAACGCUGGCGGCAUGCUUUACACAUGCAAGUCGAACGGUAACAGCACUUCGGUGGCUGACGAGUGGCGAACGGGUGAGUAAUACAUCGGAACGUGCCUAGUAGUGGGGGAUAACUACUCGAAAGAGUAGCUAAUACCGCAUGAGAUCUAAGGAUGAAAGCAGGGGACCUUCGGGCCUUGCGCUACUAGAGCGGCUGAUGGCAGAUUAGGUAGUUGGUGGGAUAAAAGCUUACCAAGCCGACGAUCUGUAGCUGGUCUGAGAGGACGACCAGCCACACUGGGACUGAGACACGGCCCAGACUCCUACGGGAGGCAGCAGUGGGGAAUUUUGGACAAUGGGCGCAAGCCUGAUCCAGCAAUGCCGCGUGCAGGAUGAAGGCCUUCGGGUUGUAAACUGCUUUUGUACGGAACGAAAAGCCCUCUUCUAAUACAGGAGGGUCAUGAAGGUACCGGAAGAAUAAGCACCGGCUAACUACGUG
RNAcentral lists this ribosomal RNA (482 nucleotides) under uncultured bacterium. RNAcentral describes it as "partial 16S ribosomal RNA". It matches the Rfam family "Bacterial small subunit ribosomal RNA", at positions 30 to 507 of the family's 1533-position model. The record is from RNAcentral.